UACGAAGGGGGCAAGCGUUGUCCGGAAUCAUUGGGCGUAAAGCGCGUGUAGGCGGCCCGGUAAGUCCGCUGUAAAAGUCCAGGGCUCAACCCUGGAAAGCCGGUGGAUACUGUCGGGCUCGAGUCCGGAAGAGGCGAGUGGAAUUCCUGGUGUAGCGGUGAAAUGCGCAGAUAUCAGGAGGAACACCGAUGGCGAAGGCAGCUCGCUGGGACGGUACUGACGCUGAGACGCGAAAGCGUGGGGAGCAAACAGG
Molecule: ribosomal RNA, 253 nt
Filed under: uncultured bacterium
Lineage: Bacteria
Description: partial 16S ribosomal RNA
Rfam family: Bacterial small subunit ribosomal RNA
Source: RNAcentral